AAAGAGAUAUCAAAAUUAGCAUUGGCACAACGCGCGCGACGGGAAUGAGAACGAAACCUAAAGCAAAGCACUGCUUGGCAAUGGGAUACCAGGACACAACCUCUACACGAAAUACAUGUUGGGGAUACCCGUGAUGAGCACUGUGCCAACAUUGGCAACAACGUCCAUAUUCAUGAGGAUACACAAAGGGCAGACACAACUGCUCAGGCAAGGUAGAAAUCAAGUUAUGCAGAUAAGGGGAAAGGGCUUCUCACCUAUGCUAUUGAAAAGGAUACUUCUUUGGUAGAACCACUUCGAGACAUAAAUGUUGGAGAUGAAAUCCAUGAAGAGCGGAAUGUGAACAUCAUACGUGUGCGUGAGGAACUUCGUACACUAUUUAUAUGGAGACCAUGAAAGUAACAAUCAAACAUCGA
Molecule: long non-coding RNA, 413 nt
Organism: Rhododendron vialii
Lineage: Eukaryota; Viridiplantae; Streptophyta; Magnoliopsida; Ericales; Ericaceae
Exons: 4
Source: RefSeq, a predicted model, not a curated record